UUAAGUGAAUAAGGGCGCACGGUGGAUGCC
RNAcentral lists this ribosomal RNA (30 nucleotides) under Halobacillus sp. FAM 114. RNAcentral's name for it is "partial 23S ribosomal RNA". Lineage: Bacteria; Bacillati; Bacillota; Bacilli; Caryophanales; Bacillaceae. The record is from RNAcentral. RNAcentral also lists the same sequence under 1 other name.